UCAGCGGCAGACGGGCGAGUAACGCGUGGGAACGUACCUUUUGGUUCGGAACAACCCAGGGAAACUUGGGCUAAUACCGGAUAAGCCCUUACGGGGAAAGAUUUAUCGCCGAAAGAUCGGCCCGCGUCUGAUUAGCUAGUUGGUGAGGUAACGGCUCACCAAGGCGACGAUCAGUAGCUGGUCUGAGAGGAUGAUCAGCCACAUUGGGACUGAGACACGGCCCAAACUCCUACGGGAGGCAGCAGUGGGGAAUAUUGGACAAUGGGCGCAAGCCUGAUCCAGCCAUGCCGCGUGAGUGAUGAAGGCCCUAGGGUUGUAAAGCUCUUUUGUGCGGGAAGAUAAUGACGGUACCGCAAGAAUAAGCCCCGGCUAACUUCGUGCCAGCAGCCGCGGUAAUACGAAGGGGGCUAGCGUUGCUCGGAAUCACUGGGCGUAAAGGGUGCGUAGGCGGGUCUUUAAGUCAGGGGUGAAAUCCUGGAGCUCCACUCCAGAACUGCCUUUGA
This 503-nucleotide ribosomal RNA is filed under the name uncultured bacterium. RNAcentral's name for it is "bacterial SSU rRNA". It matches the Rfam family "Bacterial small subunit ribosomal RNA", at positions 92 to 630 of the family's 1533-position model. The record is from RNAcentral.